UACAGAGGGUGCGAGCGUUAAUCGGAAUUACUGGGCGUAAAGCGUGCGCAGGCGGUUGUGCAAGUCAGAUGUGAAAUCCCCGGGCUUAACCUGGGAAUUGCAUUUGAGACUGCACGGCUAGAGUGUGUCAGAGGGGGUAGAAUUCCACGUGUAGCAGUGAAAUGCGUAGAUAUGUGGAGGAAUACCGAUGGCGAAGGCAGCCCCCUGGGAUAACACUGACGCUCAUGCACGAAAGCGUGGGGAGCAAACAGG
Molecule: ribosomal RNA, 252 nt
Filed under: uncultured bacterium
Lineage: Bacteria
Description: partial 16S ribosomal RNA
Rfam family: Bacterial small subunit ribosomal RNA
Source: RNAcentral